GCUGGCGGCAGGCCUAACACAUGCAAGUCGAGCGGUAACAUUUCUAGCUUGCUAGAAGAUGACGAGCGGCGACGGGUGAGUAACGCGUAGAAAUCUACCUAGUAGUGGGGGAUAGCCCAGAGAAAUUUGGAUUAAUACCGCAUACGCCCUACGGGGGAAAGCGGGGGAUCUUCGGACCUCGUGCUAUUAGAUGAGUCUGCGUCGGAUUAGCUUGUUGGUGAGGUAAUGGCUCACCAAGGCGACGAUCCGUAGCUGGUCUGAGAGGAUGACCAGCCACACUGGAACUGAGACACGGUCCAGACUCCUACGGGAGGCAGCAGUGGGGAAUAUUGCACAAUGGGCGCAAGCCUGAUGCAGCCAUGCCGCGUGUGUGAAGAAGGCCUUAGGGUUGUAAAGCACUUUCAGCAGUGAGGAAAGGGGUGUCGUUAAUAGCGCCAUCCUGUGACGUUAACUGCAAGAAGGACCGGCUAACUCCGUG
RNAcentral lists this ribosomal RNA (478 nucleotides) under uncultured bacterium. RNAcentral's name for it is "bacterial SSU rRNA". It matches the Rfam family "Bacterial small subunit ribosomal RNA", at positions 35 to 507 of the family's 1533-position model. The record is from RNAcentral.